Non-coding RNA from Alphaproteobacteria bacterium, 59 nucleotides. The record is from Rfam. Lineage: Bacteria; Pseudomonadati; Pseudomonadota; Alphaproteobacteria.
AUAUGACACGGACCGACGGUGGCCAGUCUUGGCCCCACAUUCGGACGUGGCGCGAUGAC